RNAcentral lists this ribosomal RNA (495 nucleotides) under Megascolecidae sp. SC201702-04. Its description in RNAcentral is "partial large subunit ribosomal RNA". It matches the Rfam family "Bacterial large subunit ribosomal RNA", at positions 1811 to 2605 of the family's 2925-position model. Lineage: Eukaryota; Metazoa; Annelida; Clitellata; Crassiclitellata; Megascolecidae. The record is from RNAcentral.
AAACAUUGUCUUAUGAAUAAAAUACAAGAUAAUACCUGCCCAGUGACACAAAUGUUAAACGGCCGCGGUAUCCUAACCGUGCAAAGGUAGCAUAAUCACUUGCCUAUUAAUUGUAGGCUAGAAUGAACGGGUUAACGAAAUAAAAACUGUCUCAAUUAAUUACCUAAAAAUAAUUUUCUACAUGAAGAAAAGUAGAUAUCCUCGAAGGACAAGAAGACCCUAUAGAGCUUAAUUUAAAUUAUAGAAUUACACUAUAAAAUUAUUCGGUUGGGGCGACCCAGGGCUAAUAAUCACCCAUUAUACAAAAGAUAAAUAAAUCUAACUAAUGACCCAAGAAGAUCAUAAGACCAAGCUACCUUAGGGAUAACAGGCUAAUCCCACUUAAGAGUCCCUAUCAACAGUGGGGUUUGGCACCUCGAUGUUGGCUUAGGGUAUCAAUAUAGCGCAAAAGUUAUAUAAAGAUGGUUUGUUCAACCAAUAACUCCCUACGUGAUC